Podarcis lilfordi (Lilford's wall lizard) is the source of this 2197-nucleotide non-coding RNA. The record is from the annotation of a GenBank genome assembly. Lineage: Eukaryota; Metazoa; Chordata; Lepidosauria; Squamata; Lacertidae.
CUUCUGUGUAUGAUGCAGUAUUCAUUGCCAGCACCUCCAUGUUUGGUGGACUGUGGUGGAAAUUAUGUGGUAUGUAUGUACUUAUAUCUUUCCCCUUUCCCACAAGGCUGAGCAGGCACUAUGGCUGUGCGAUAUAUCAUCCAAAACCAGGUUGAAGUUCAUAUUGUGAUAUUGGUUUCAUAAUUUUUGACCUGGCAAUAUACUGUGUGUGUGUGUGUGCAGGAAAAAGAGUGAAGCCAGCCAAUGCCUCUACAUAGCUCCAUCCCUAUUUCAGAUGUGAUGUUUAGCUGGUGUUACAUGGCAAUGCUGAAAACCAGAUAUUACCCAACAGGUUUUGCCAGUUGCUGUGCCUGUAUAUCUGCAGUGCAUCUAGGGAUCUGGUAUAAGAUUGUUCUGUCGGACUGCUCUGCACAUCUUUGUGCUAAGAAAAGACAUUUUAUCGGUGUAACUGUCCUUUUCUGUACUUUUCCAGCACUACAGCAUCUUUCUUAGGAUCAGGUAACCAGAACUGCACAUAAUAUUCCAAAUGGGGUACACCACAAAUUUACUUUAAAACAUUAUGAUACUUUCUGUUCUGUUUUCAGUCCUUUUGCUAAUAAUGAACAUGAAAGCAACAUUAAAAAAACCCAAUCACUGUUGAUCGCUGCUCUGCACUGAAACAGUGUUUCCAGUAAACUGUCCACCACACCGCCAAGAUAACUUUCCAGGAUACUCACAUUAGUGCUUAUUAUCAAACAUCAGGUCCAUCAGUCCACUGAAACAUCUCUCCAAUUGGGGAAAAGUGUAUAGCUUUGUAAUUCCACUGAAGGUACUACUUGGUCCUUAGAGUUAUUUGAACAAUACCAUUGUAUUCAUUUUACAAUAUGCUGUCAUUCAGCAUCAGAACCAGUACCAGACCAGCAGGGACACUUCCAUUGUUCUCGGAAUGCUAGCUGCUGACAUUCCAUUUGGGGCAUGUUCUGUCCUUUGAAAUACUACUGUUUCCAUUCAUUGUCUAUAGCAAUAUCUUAGAUACUAUAAUUCUGUUGAAAUGCCCUUCCCAGUACUGUUGUAUUUCAGACUGUUAAAACCCCUUUGGAGAUAUCUGUUCUAAUGACAGUUCAUCGUUGUUCUACUAAGUGCUCAUUUCCUUGAGUAUGUGAUCUUCAGAUGAAGGAUGGUAUAUAAAUUUAAUAGAUGAUGAUGAUGACGACAACUUAAAGUUUCCUGCAUGUUUCAACUGUUCUGUUAGUCUUGAUUCCUUCAUUAUUACGGUAUUUCUCCUUCUAUGUUAAUCUCUUGUGUUGCCUAGGAGGGCCUGAAAAGCACUGCACUGUAGCGCGGAAGUUAAGCUGAGAAGAUCUCCUGGGCAAGGUCAAAUUCAAUGUCAUCAACUUCAUUGAUAAUUAUUUUACAUAGUAAUUUAUUUUGGGGUUGUUGUUGCUGUUUUAAAAAAAUGCCCCUGAAUAUUUUACAUUUUAUGUUGACUUUCUAAACAACCAGUCUAAAAGAGUUCCAGAAGCUGUGGUGGUGGUGGUUGGUAAUAUCAAUUUGGGCUCUUCUUUAGGGGUCUCUUCUGUUCUAUGGGGAGGUUCCCCCACCUGCCCACCCAGAAGCAGCUGUGCUGGGUACAGCACUUCAAAGGCGAAGUCAACCAUAAAGUUUUCUCUACCUUUGAUUUUCAACAGAACCAGGGAAGAAUCUGGGAACGUCUAAGGCUUCCUUCCUUCAUUUGAGAUGAGCACUACAAAAGCUCAUCUCCAGACCUGAAUCUGGUGAAUUUUGGUGGCAUUUCUGCACAGCAGUGAAUCUUGUGGCACUGCCAAGGUGAUGAUUCCCAUGGGAUGAAGCAGCGAGGUCCCAGUCUCACCUUCUGAGAGCUACGCAACAGGUUUUCUAGUUCAACUUGGAUGACUUUUGUUUCAAAAUGAGCCAACUAUACUUGGUAAUACUAACUAGGCUACAAAGGCUCAUAUAGUUUAUCAGAUGAUAAUUAAGGGUGUGACUCAUCUGAAAUUGAAAACGUUUGUAAUCCUCUCUAUGGAGAAGUUAAGGAUAUCUUUCAAUAACCUCCCAAUGAAAUCAGUGGGAUAAAAAUGUUCACAAUAGACUGAAUUCUGCCCUACAUUUGCCUUUUGUAGUGUUGGAUGUGAGUCCACCUCACAAGCAUUGUGAUUUCAUUCCGUGAAUCAUUAAACUGCAUUCUAGUGUGCCAUCG